GAUGAACGCUAGCGAUAGGCCUAACACAUGCAAGUCGAGGGGCAGCACAUGAAGUAGCGAUACAGAUGGUGGCGACCGGCGCACGGGUGAGUAACGCGUAUGCAAUCUACCUACAACAAGGGGAUAACCCGUUGAAAGACGGACUAAUACCCUAUAAUACAGGGGUCCCGCAUGGGAAUAUUUGUUAAAGAUUCAUCGGUUGUAGAUGAGCAUGCGUUCCAUUAGCUAGUUGGUGAGGUAACGGCCCACCAAGGCAACGAUGGAUAGGGGAACUGAGAGGUUUAUCCCCCACACUGGUACUGAGACACGGACCAGACUCCUACGGGAGGCAGCAGUGAGGAAUAUUGGUCAAUGGACGCAAGUCUGAACCAGCCACGUCGCGUGAAGGAAGACGGCCCUAUGGGUUGUAAACUUCUUUUGUAAGGGAAUAAAGUGAGUCACGGGUGGCUUAUUGCAUGUACCUUACGAAUAAGGAUCGGCUAACUCCGUG
RNAcentral lists this ribosomal RNA (490 nucleotides) under uncultured bacterium. Its description in RNAcentral is "bacterial SSU rRNA". It matches the Rfam family "Bacterial small subunit ribosomal RNA", at positions 28 to 507 of the family's 1533-position model. The record is from RNAcentral.